UACGGGGGGAGCAAGCGUUGUUCGGAUUUACUGGGCGUAAAGGGCGCGUAGGCGGUCAGCACAAGUCAGUUGUGAAAUCUCCGGGCUUAACUCGGAAAGGUCAACUGAUACUGUGCGACUAGAGUGCAGAAGGGGCAACUGGAAUUCUCGGUGUAGCGGUGAAAUGCGUAGAUAUCGGGAGGAACACCAGUGGCGAAGGCGGGUCUCUGGGCCGUAACUGACGCUGAGGAGCGAAAGCGUGGGGAGCGAACAGG
RNAcentral lists this ribosomal RNA (254 nucleotides) under uncultured bacterium. RNAcentral describes it as "partial 16S ribosomal RNA". It matches the Rfam family "Bacterial small subunit ribosomal RNA", at positions 524 to 776 of the family's 1533-position model. The record is from RNAcentral.